RNAcentral lists this long non-coding RNA (320 nucleotides) under Ananas comosus (pineapple). RNAcentral's name for it is "long non-coding RNA (ACOM_LNC044605)". The record is from RNAcentral. Lineage: Eukaryota; Viridiplantae; Streptophyta; Magnoliopsida; Poales; Bromeliaceae.
UGUAGAGCCUCCUCACUUGGAGAGGAUUGGAUUGGGUGUUGACCCUAGUUACAGUGUAUCCUCACUUGGAGAGGAUAGAUCUAGCUCACAGUCUGCGUUUAGGGUGGUAUAGCCAUCCAAUCCCCACAUGGAGGGGAUUGUCGUCGAGUACUCCGGAGUGUCGUGCGACUAGGACCACUUGGAGGUCCGGACCACAUGGAGGUCCGCAGACGGUCCCAGGCUUGGGUGCACUUGGAGCUCCCUCCCCACUUUGGGAUUAAAAGAUGAGUUAUUGGCGAACCCUAGGGCUUCGCUACAGAUUGGGUAAAAGAACAGUGAAC